Molecule: ribosomal RNA, 399 nt
Filed under: uncultured bacterium
Lineage: Bacteria
Description: bacterial SSU rRNA
Rfam family: Bacterial small subunit ribosomal RNA
Source: RNAcentral
UGGGGAAUAUUGGGCAAUGGGCGCAAGCCUGACCCAGCAACGCCGCGUGAGGGAAGAAGGCCUUCGGGUUGUAAACCUCUGUCCUUGGUGACGAAACAAAUGACGGUAGCCAAGGAGGAAGCCCCGGCUAACUACGUGCCAGCAGCCGCGGUAAUACGUAGGGGGCGAGCGUUGUCCGGAAUUACUGGGCGUAAAGGGUGCGUAGGUGGCCUUUUAAGUUGGAUGUGAAAUACCCGGGCUUAACUUGGGGGGUGCAUCUAAUACUGGGAGGCUAGAGUGCAGGAGAGGGAAGCGGAAUUCCUAGUGUAGCGGUGAAAUGCGUAGAUAUUAGGAGGAACACCAGUGGCGAAGGCGGCUUUCUGGACUGUAACUGACACUGAGGCACGAAAGCGUGGGGAG